This is a long non-coding RNA of Cyprinus carpio (common carp), 2076 nucleotides long. Lineage: Eukaryota; Metazoa; Chordata; Actinopteri; Cypriniformes; Cyprinidae. The record is from Ensembl.
AUAAUCAGAUAUAUAUAUAUAUAUAUAUAUAUAUAUAUAUAUCAGUUUAAACUGCAAAGAACAAUCAAAUGGCCUUAUAUAUCUCAGAAACACCUGAGUGUAAAUGUGUUUGUAUUUGUUUUAAGUUCUGCAGCUAUUGAAGUUGAAACUGGCUAAUAAACUGAUUCCUGUGUUUUCAGCUCCUCCAGAUGUUCAUGUCUUUGCAAAAAGGUCUAUCAGAGACAAAACCAAGCUAAAAUUCACCUGUCUGGUCAGUGGCUUCUACCCCAAAGACAUGACACUGGUCAUGAGGAAAUAAUCGCACAUCUCUGUGUGAAAAUGAGGUUGAAUCCACAGGAAUCAGACCAAACCAUGAUGGGACCUUCCAGCUGAGGAAGAGUGUGGAGAUCAAUGAAAAUGAAAAAUCAGAAUAUGAUUGUUUUGUGUCCCACAGAACCUUCAAAGAACCAGUUAUCGUCCAAUGUGAUGGUGUGACGGCAUGAUUGGAGCUAGGGCUGUUUCACACUGGAAGCGUAUGUGAGUGGAAGCAGUGGAAACUGGAUUAGCAUGCUUUUUAAGCUCUACUUUAAAUCAUUUUAAAUCAGCAUGCUUUUGUGUUGUUUGUUUUACACAAGCUACAUUUACAUGCACUGAAAUAAUCAAUAAUCAUAAAUAAUAAUAAUAUUACUCAUGUAGCUCCGUUGACAUUAAUGCGGUGGCUUUCUGAAUAGAUGCACUGUGCAUGCACUGACUUUUUGAUCGGAAUAAAUACAUUGCACAUUUAAUCAAAAAUGUGAAAUAAACUGCAAAGCUUAAAGCUCAUAAGCAGAACCUUCAAAAUCUGAAAUGGGAUUGUAUUUAUUCGGAUUGUCAAAGAGUAGUGCAUGUAAAUAUACUGACAGUGUUAAUCAUGCUUAUUUUUAAUGUUAUUCCAAAAAAAAAGAAAAAAAAAAAAAAAAAAAAAAAAAAAAAAAAAAAAAAAAAAAAAAAAAAAAAAAAAAAAAAAAAAAUCAUUGAAGUAUGUAGCACAUUUCCCCCAAACCUUUAUUGAUUUUUUUUAUUAUUCAAAUAUUAUGAUUGUUAUUACUUCAUUUUAAGUCCUUUUGUAAAUCUUCAUGUCAUUUUAAAUCCAUUUAGACAAAUUAUUAUUCCAGAAAAAAAAAAAAAAAAAAAAAAAAAAAAAAAANCCAUAACAAUGCUGAAUCACUGUCCUCGACCACAAUCAGCUUCAGUUGAGCUGCAGCGACUGCAGACAACGUCCCAAACUUCCAUGUAGUUGACCAUGAGUCUCACACAAGAACUCAAACGCCUCUUGAAAAUAACAUUUAAACUACAUUAGCCUACAGCCUAUGAAGAAAUGUGACUUGAGAAAUGUGUCAAAGAAAUCCCUCUGACGUCGCAUUUCAAAUAUAGUUACCAGAUUUGGUUUGACUCUCUGGAGAGUCAGUCUUGCUGUCUGCUGUUUCAUCAUCACUCUCGUCCUGUUGGAGAAGCAGUGAAAUGUAUAAGUGCAUCUACAGUGCUGCAGGUGAAUGGACCUGUUUACAGAAGUGUUGACAAGGAAAAAAAGCAGCAUGUAUGUGAAACAUGGUGAAAAGCAUGCGUGAGGCUUGUGUGUGAUGAGAUUCACAAUAAGAUCACUUUGGACUUCAGUCACACAAAUGAUGCAUUUACUGAUGUAUGUGUGUCAGUGCAUUAUUAAAAACAAAUGAGAUAUCAGAAUAAGAGGUAUAUUCACCAGAGUCAAAGUUGUAAUGUCCUGCUGUUGUCAUAAUAUCUGUAACAGUGAACAUGAAAGCAAUUCAGCUGAUAAAUCCCCAAGUUAUAAGGUUAAGGGUACCCUUAGUGAAAAUUGGGUUGCAAGAAAAAAAAGCUAAGGUCAGCUUAAGAAACUUAAGCCUGACAUUAAUUAUUCUCCCUUAAAUAUGUAAGUGUUCCCUUAAUGGAGUAGUUCAAUUCCAGAAUUUAAAAAAAAAAAAAAAAAAAAAAAAAAAAAAAACACCUAUUCCAUAUCAUCCAAGAUGUCCAUGGCUUUCUGUCUUUUUCUUAAAAAAAAAAAAACAAACAAACAAACAAACAUUUAUAUACUUUAUAACC